Molecule: ribosomal RNA, 222 nt
Filed under: uncultured bacterium
Lineage: Bacteria
Description: partial 16S ribosomal RNA
Rfam family: Bacterial small subunit ribosomal RNA
Source: RNAcentral
AGUAAUGCUUGGGAAUCUAGCUUAUGGAGGGGGAUAACUACGGGAAACUGUAGCUAAUACCGCGUAGAAUCGAGAGAUGAAAGUGUGGGACCUUCGGGCCACAUGCCAUAGGAUGAGCCCAAGUGGGAUUGGGUAGUUGGUGAGGUAAAGGCUCACCAAGCCGACGAUCUCUAGCUGGUCUGAGAGGAUGACCAGCCACACUGGGACUGAGACACGGCCCAG